Molecule: long non-coding RNA, 662 nt
Organism: Macadamia integrifolia
Lineage: Eukaryota; Viridiplantae; Streptophyta; Magnoliopsida; Proteales; Proteaceae
Exons: 4
Source: RefSeq, a predicted model, not a curated record
UCUACUCUCUUACCUCUACCCACCUCCCCAAAUCGCCACUGAAUGAGGGAUCGCGUCUUCCCCCUCCAUACGACGAUUCUCUGUGCCCAUGCCUUCGACACAGCACAAUCUUCCCCAAAUAGCAAUUGAAGGAUCCCGUCUUCCCCAGAGCAGCCUGCCUUACCCCGGUGUGUACUCGUCUCUCUCAGACGUCGUCCUUCAAUCUCCCACCUGAACAGCCAAAGCAAGCAGUAAAAUUCCAUAGUCUCCAAACCAUUCCAAGUUGAAGUUUAAUGGACAGAAGAGCCAAAGCGACACAACUAGAGAGCAUUGAAAGCUCUGUACUGUUUGAGAGAAUGCUCUAGAGGACAACAGCCAAAGCAUCCUGAAUCUACGUGAUAUGCUCUAUGUUUUGCAGAGUAAGUUCCUCGAUGCAGAUAGAUUGUUUCACAAGGAAGUUUGUUGGCUCUUCAUCCCCAUUAGUCUCCAUAGCACUUCCUUCUCAAAGGGAAACACAUUUCUGGUAUAUCCGACCUGAUGAAGUACAGAGCAAAUCCCUCUUAAAUCAAUAUUUGGAGUUGCUAUCUCACAGCGAAAAAGAAAAGGUUUUCUGCAUGCGUGGAGAUGAGCUUCAAAAAAGAGCCAUACUUGCUCGUGCCUUGAUGCGCACUACCCUUGCAAGA